This 205-nucleotide unclassified non-coding RNA is filed under the name Hevea brasiliensis (rubber tree). The record is from RNAcentral. Lineage: Eukaryota; Viridiplantae; Streptophyta; Magnoliopsida; Malpighiales; Euphorbiaceae.
CGUGCGAAAGCCAUCCUGAGAUCUUCUAAUUGUUGACUUAGCCCCUAGUAGCUCUCUCUUAUUUUGCCAUUGUCUUUAGUCUGCAUUUCUUUUCUGAUUCGCUCGUUCCUUCGUACUUGUUCGUUAGAAGUGUUAUUUUUUUCCUUUGAGGCAAGAUGGCCUUGCCUGUAUCUGCUAUUGGAUUUGAAGGCUAUGAAAAGAGGCU